CAGACGCCCCAGCCCCCCACCGCCCCCAAAGGGGCGAGCGACGCCAAGCUCUGCGCUCUCUACAAAGAGGCCGAGCUGCGCCUGAAGGGCAGCAGCAACACCACGGAGUGUGUUCCCGUGCCCACCUCCGAGCACGUGGCCGAGAUCGUGGGCAGGCAAGGCUGCAAGAUUAAGGCCUUGAGGGCCAAGACCAACACCUACAUCAAGACACCGGUGAGGGGCGAGGAACCAGUGUUCAUGGUGACAGGGCGACGGGAGGACGUGGCCACAGCCCGGCGGGAAAUCAUCUCAGCAGCGGAGCACUUCUCCAUGAUCCGUGCCUCCCGCAACAAGUCAGGCGCCGCCUUUGGUGUGGCUCCUGCUCUGCCCGGCCAGCCGUGACCGCGACCCCGUGUUCGAGAUCACGGGUGCCCCAGGCAACGUGGAGCGUGCGCGCGAGGAGAUCGAGACGCACAUCGCGGUGCGCACUGGCAAGAUCCUCGAGUACAACAAUGAAAACGACUUCCUGGCGGGGAGCCCCGACGCAGCAAUCGAUAGCCGCUACUCCGACGCCUGGCGGGUGCACCAGCCCGGCUGCAAGCCCCUCUCCACCUUCCGGCAGAACAGCCUGGGCUGCAUCGGCGAGUGCGGAGUGGACUCUGGCUUUGAGGCCCCACGCCUGGGU
Molecule: long non-coding RNA, 664 nt
Filed under: Homo sapiens (human)
Lineage: Eukaryota; Metazoa; Chordata; Mammalia; Primates; Hominidae
Description: non-protein coding lnc-UBQLN4-1:1
Source: RNAcentral